ACAUCAGUCACCAGCUUCAUCAAUAAGUGCAUCGGUGACGUUGUCCCCACAGUGACCUAGACAUCUCUUCAUCUCACUCACUGUGCCACUUCGUUGAGGAAGGGCCGUGUGAAGAAGUGGUUGCAGAUGUUUCCUGCGCUGUACACCAGCUCUCCUCCUGGGUCUCGCUGCUCGGCCGUCUCUGGGCGGAGCUCGCUGUACUCCACCACCUGGUACACCCCCUUCACCUUGCAUACCACGCCCACCGGCUCCGCUGG
Long non-coding RNA from Oncorhynchus tshawytscha (Chinook salmon), 257 nucleotides. RefSeq lists it as uncharacterized. NCBI's taxonomy places the organism in Eukaryota, Metazoa, Chordata, Actinopteri, Salmoniformes, Salmonidae. The record is from RefSeq and is a predicted model, not a curated record. The transcript is spliced from 2 exons.